GAUGAACGCUGGCGGCGUGCCUAAUACAUGCAGGUCGAGCGAACAGACGAGGAGCUUGCUCCUCUGACGUUAGCGGCGGACGGGUGAGUAACACGUGGAUAACCUACCUAUAAGACUGGGAUAACUUCGGGAAACCGGAGCUAAUACCGGAUAAUAUAUUGAACCGCAUGGUUCAAUAGUGAAAGACGGUUUUGCUGUCACUUAUAGAUGGAUCCGCGCCGCAUUAGCUAGUUGGUAAGGUAACGGCUUACCAAGGCAACGAUGCGUAGCCGACCUGAGAGGGUGAUCGGCCACACUGGAACUGAGACACGGUCCAGACUCCUACGGGAGGCAGCAGUAGGGAAUCUUCCGCAAUGGGCGAAAGCCUGACGGAGCAACGCCGCGUGAGUGAUGAAGGUCUUCGGAUCGUAAAACUCUGUUAUUAGGGAAGAACAAAUGUGUAAGUAACUAUGCACGUCUUGACGGUACCGAAUCAGAAAGCCACGGCUAACUACGU
Molecule: ribosomal RNA, 496 nt
Filed under: uncultured bacterium
Lineage: Bacteria
Description: partial 16S ribosomal RNA
Rfam family: Bacterial small subunit ribosomal RNA
Source: RNAcentral